RNAcentral lists this ribosomal RNA (253 nucleotides) under uncultured bacterium. Its description in RNAcentral is "partial 16S ribosomal RNA". It matches the Rfam family "Bacterial small subunit ribosomal RNA", at positions 524 to 776 of the family's 1533-position model. The record is from RNAcentral.
UACAGAGGGUGCAAGCGUUAAUCGGAAUUACUGGGCGUAAAGCGUGCGUAGACGGUUGCGUAAGUCAGAUGUGAAAGCCCCGGGCUCAACCUGGGAAUUGCAUUUGAGACUGCGUAGCUAGGGUGCGGAAGAGGGAAGCGGAAUUUCCGGUGUAGCGGUGAAAUGCGUAGAUAUCGGAAGGAACACCAGUGGCGAAGGCGGCUUCCUGGUCCAGCACUGACGUUCAGGCACGAAAGCGUGGGGAGCAAACAGG